GACGAACGCUGGCGGCGUGCUUAACACAUGCAAGUCGAACGGAAAGGCCCUGCUUUUGUGGGUGCUCGAGUGGCGAACGGGUGAGUAACACGUGAGUAACCUGCCCUUGACUUUGGGAUAACUUCAGGAAACUGGGGCUAAUACCGGAUAGGAGCUCCUGCUGCAUGGUGGGGGUUGGAAAGUUUCGGCGGUUGGGGAUGGACUCGCGGCUUAUCAGCUUGUUGGUGGGGUAGUGGCUUACCAAGGCUUUGACGGGUAGCCGGCCUGAGAGGGUGACCGGCCACAUUGGGACUGAGAUACGGCCCAGACUCCUACGGGAGGCAGCAGUGGGGAAUAUUGCACAAUGGGCGGAAGCCUGAUGCAGCAACGCCGCGUGCGAGAUGACGGCCUUCGGGUUGUAAACCGCUUUCGCCUGUGACGAAGCGUGAGUGACGGUAAUGGGUAAAGAAGCACCGGCUAACUACGUG
This 467-nucleotide ribosomal RNA is filed under the name uncultured bacterium. RNAcentral describes it as "partial 16S ribosomal RNA". It matches the Rfam family "Bacterial small subunit ribosomal RNA", at positions 28 to 507 of the family's 1533-position model. The record is from RNAcentral.